GAUGAACGCUAGCUACAGGCUUAACACAUGCAAGUCGCGGGGCAGCAUGGGGGUUGCUUGCAAUCCCCGAUGGCGACCGGCGCACGGGUGAGUAACGCGUAUCCAACCUGCCCUUCACCACGGGAUAACCCGGCGAAAGUCGGACUAAUACCGUAUGUUUUCCAUUGACGGCAUCCGAUUUGGACGAAAGGCUUGGCGGUGAGGGAUGGGGAUGCGUCCGAUUAGCCAGACGGCGGGGUAACGGCCCACCGUGGCUACGAUCGGUAGGGGUUCUGAGAGGAAGGUCCCCCACACUGGAACUGAGACACGGUCCAGACUCCUACGGGAGGCAGCAGUGAGGAAUAUUGAUCAAUGGGCGUAAGCCUGAACCAGCCAAGUAGCGUGCAGGAUGACGGCCCUAUGGGUUGUAAACUGCUUUUAUGCGGGGAUAAAGUGGCCCACGUGUGGGCUUUUGCAGGUACCGCAUGAAUAAGGACCGGCUAAUUCCGUG
This 490-nucleotide ribosomal RNA is filed under the name uncultured bacterium. RNAcentral describes it as "partial 16S ribosomal RNA". It matches the Rfam family "Bacterial small subunit ribosomal RNA", at positions 28 to 507 of the family's 1533-position model. The record is from RNAcentral.